CACAGGCUGUCAUUUGAGGAACUUGUCACAACCCUUUGUUUCCUAUCUUGUUUUGGGAGGAUACUUCUGUUCCCUUGGAUUGGACCAUGUCCAGUUCUCACCCUUAAGGCCUUUCCUUGUCUUAGUCAAUUUAACUCCUCUGCUCUGUAAUCCUUGGAUUACAAAACAAGUUGUUUCUCCUUUCCAGGGACAAGAGGAGCUUCCCUAUUGUUCUUAAUUCUUAGGGCAGAGAAAAAGGCACAAUCAUAUUAACUUGUAGCAGACGAGAAGGAAUUGGGUAGAUUAGUGAAAUCCUUUAUUCCUGCUGAUUUUUUUUUCUUUUUAAGACGAGGUCUUGCUCUUUUAUUCAGGCUGGAGUGCAGUGGUGUGAGCACAGCUCACUGCAGCCUCAAACUCCUGGGCUCAAGUGCUGCUCCUGCCUCAGCCUCCUGCAAAGCUGGAACUACAGAGGCAGCACUCAAGCUCUGAUUCUCACUGUUGCCCAGCGUCAGUUGUUUAGCAGACAUGAUUUAGAUUGCUACAACCCGUUUGUCACAUCUCAAAUAUGAACAUCACCCAGAGGUUACCCAGGUGAUCCCAGGCCAUCUCGGGAUGUCCUCCACAUUCCACAAUUCAGUAGCCAAAGGAUUGAACUGAUACCUGCAGAAGACUUCCUGGAUUCCCUCUCCAAGACCCACAAUCCACUAUGAUUGGAUAAGGCCUACCCUCUAAUUGAUCAGUACUACACACACACACACACACACACACACACACACUCACUCACCAAGGCUUGGUUUCCUUUUCUAAAAAACAAAAGAGGGUAAAGGAAUGCCCUCCCAAGUCUCUUUCUAAAAUUUUCAAGUUCUACAGGCUCAGUAGGCAUCCAGCCUCUCAGCACUACCCUAUGUCCCCUAUGCCCACGUAGAUAAACUUGUUUUAAUAAAAGCUAACUUCCGAUUUAGCACACAGUAUUAAGAAUUAAAGUUGGAUGAAGCUAUUACUGUUACGAAUAGCCUUGGGCUAUUUUUCAAUUCACCUAUGUCAUACGUCAAGUGAUUAAGAAAAUCAAAUGCUGUAUCCAGGAAAAUAGAACAUGAAAAGGCAGGAAUAAUGUGUGUCUUUAGGACACCCAUUUGAACACAAAAGAAUUAGGGCCCAAAUUUCACUAUAUGUCAAAUGUGAAUUUAUUUCUAUAAAAGGCUUCAGAACUCUCUAAGCUUUGCAUUGUCUGAAGAGUGCUACAGAGCCAUCUGUGACUUGUAGUGGUUGCAUCCAGAUCUUUGAAAAUGCUUUUUCUUCUUAAUCAAGUUAGGAUAUUGGAUUUCCAGAAGAGUAGGAUCUCUAUAUUUUGAUACUCGCCUGAUUUCUUAAAGCUCCUAAAGGUGCCUUUUGACUUCCUAACUGAUUCUAACAAACACAUGGCUUCAGUCUAUCUGGCUUCCCCUUUGUCUAAGAACACUGACAUUAGGAGUUGCCAAUUGGCACCUCUAUGUGGACACCUUCCACCCAGAAACCAUGUUGAGUUUUCAGGUUUCACAAUGAUGCUGAUUUGAGUCAGCACUGUUGGAAAUGAGGGUCUUUUUAAAAAUGCUUCAGAUUCCCAGUUAUUCCUACCUUUGUCUCUUCAGUCCUCAACAUCCUCUGGGGCAAAACUAGAGAGCUGCACUGUUUCUGUGUGAGGUGAACCUGCGUCCACAGAGGAGCAGCACUCACGUUCCCCACUCAAGACCUGUGUAAUUUAUUUGUAGCAAAGCUCCAUCCUUAAUUCACUAUUAUCUUGUCUUUCUGGCAUCCUCCUUCCCUCUGUGCUAUGCAUGUUGGGGUCGGUGAGGGGAGCAAUGACCCAGAGAGGGGCAUCUUUUGCAUGGCAAAGUCCUUUGGAUGAGCUGAGGAUUCCCAUCUUGACUGAAGUUUUCCAGUUUUUAAAUCUCAUCUUUCAUUUUGUGAUGCUUGAUAAAGAUAGCAAAGUAAUAUGAGUUAGUAAAUGUUAACACGUGCCGCAAAUACAAAAGCAGUUUAUUCUGUCAUUGAUAAUGGAGGAAAAUAUGCAAUAAUAGUAUUGAAUUUGCACUCAUAGGUAAAAGCCUUCAUUGCAAAGCAAAAUCUGAUUUUUGUUUGUGACCAGCAUGAAUGCUGACCUCUGCCCUUUGAAUGAUCUUUCCGUCUCCCGGAAAGUUCAUGAAAAGGUCAUGGAGCUGCGCUGACUUCCUCUGUGUGUGCAUGGACGUGUCUUUGCUAUUGAUCCAGGAAAAGACCAUUCUGUGGUUUUGUUCAUUUUAUUUUUAAUGGAAACCUAAUCAGUAAUUAUAAAAUGUUUCUAGAAGAAUUCACGCCUGAGUAAGUGAAGAAAGCUAACCUCAUUUCAUGCUGAUUAUUUAACCUUGGUCAUAACUCCCAAUUAAAUGCAUUUCUUGAACCCGUAACAAAGCAAAAUAUGGCACUUACUGGUCAGAAAUUCAAAGCAGGAGAGAGAAAAAAUGGCUUAAUAGCUGGAAAUAAAAACAUCAGUGAAUUUUUCUUAUGGAUUCCUUCAUGUCAAAUUCAUAUCAUGAGUGACUCGCAGUUUUCCCUUUAGAUCAUCUUGGCAUCAUCGAGGAGCAAAAAUAAAAAUGAUUUCUAG
RNAcentral lists this long non-coding RNA (2599 nucleotides) under Homo sapiens (human). Its description in RNAcentral is "HSALNT0043606". The record is from RNAcentral. Lineage: Eukaryota; Metazoa; Chordata; Mammalia; Primates; Hominidae.